GAGUUUGAUCGUGGCUCAGGACGAACGCUGGCGGCGUGCCUAAUACAUGCAAGUCGAGCGAAUCACCGGGAGCUUGCUCUCGGCGAUUAGCGGCGGACGGGUGAGUAACACGUGGGCGACCUGCCUGUAAGACUGGGAUAACUUCGGGAAACCGGAGCUAAUACCGGAUCAAUCUUUUCCUCGCAUGAGGAAAAGCUAAAAGACGGUUUCGGCUGUCACUUACAGAUGGGCCCGCGGCGCAUUAGCUAGUUGGUGAGGUAACGGCUCACCAAGGCGACGAUGCGUAGCCGACCUGAGAGGGUGAUCGGCCACACUGGGACUGAGACACGGCCCAGACUCCUACGGGAGGCAGCAGUAGGGAAUCUUCCGCAAUGGACGAAAGUCUGACGGAGCAACGCCGCGUGAGUGAUGAAGGCCUU
RNAcentral lists this ribosomal RNA (419 nucleotides) under uncultured microorganism. Its description in RNAcentral is "bacterial SSU rRNA". It matches the Rfam family "Bacterial small subunit ribosomal RNA", at positions 9 to 418 of the family's 1533-position model. The record is from RNAcentral.